AUGGUGGUUCUCUGGAGGUUGAGUGUAAUCUGUGGCACCCAAGGAAGCUGAUCUCUGUUGCUUUGAACCCCACUGGUCAGACCUGCCAUGUCUCAGCACAUCCCUAGGGCCAACCUACCCCAGGAUGGUGUGGAGCACAGCAUGUUCACCUGCCACCCAGCCGCCAUUCUGUUUCCAAGGCUGCGUCUGUCCACUGGACUGGUGACGGGGUUGUCAGUGUUUAGCUCCUGCUUCCAGCUGCUGCUUUGAAUCCUUGCUCUGCGAUGGACUACUCCCUGGCUACAGCCCUCACUCUCCUUAGUCACUAAGACUUUGAACAAGUUGUUUCAAACUAUGUCUAUGCAGACGCAUCACGGAAAGCUGCCAAGGCAGGCCUUUUGGCACACUUGACUUUAACCUUUGCCGGGCUUUGUGAUUUCAACUAUCAUGAUGGGGGCAUCUGGAAAGCUGUUGCCAUGCUGUGGAAGCUCUGA
RNAcentral lists this long non-coding RNA (473 nucleotides) under Homo sapiens (human). Its description in RNAcentral is "non-protein coding lnc-RBM45-2:1". Lineage: Eukaryota; Metazoa; Chordata; Mammalia; Primates; Hominidae. The record is from RNAcentral.